Rana temporaria (common frog) is the source of this 491-nucleotide long non-coding RNA. RefSeq lists it as uncharacterized. NCBI's taxonomy places the organism in Eukaryota, Metazoa, Chordata, Amphibia, Anura, Ranidae. The transcript is spliced from 3 exons. The record is from RefSeq and is a predicted model, not a curated record.
GGGACUUGUUUCAGCUGUGAUUGGCCCACCCGAUAUCAUGUGAUGCUUACACGUCACACAUCGGGUUAGGACAGCCUAUUUAAACGGCAUUUUGCUGCACACUCAGUGCAGAAUGCCGCAGGGUCAUAUGUUCAGUGAGCACUCUUGUCCUUAAUGCUUUGCAGUUCCCCUCCUGGAUCAAGCAGCUGAUUUCUUCUGGCUUUAUACACGCUAAGCUUAUUGUGACACUGCCUGCGAUCCUUAUAUAGAUCUUAUACAGAUAUUUUGGGAAAUCUACAUGAUUCCUUCCUUGAAUUAACACUGCAGCUGGAUUGCUCAUUGAUGUCCCUGGUCUUUAACCCCAUAAACCGUUAUAUAUGUAAGUCAUUUAUGCUUUAUGGUCUCACAGUCAUUACUGCUAAACUAAGUUAACCAAUAUUUUGGUCAUUAUGUCUUAAAUACAUAUAUAUCUCACAGAUAAUAAUAUGUUAACCCCUAGCCAUCCCUAUUGC